Molecule: ribosomal RNA, 253 nt
Filed under: uncultured bacterium
Lineage: Bacteria
Description: partial 16S ribosomal RNA
Rfam family: Bacterial small subunit ribosomal RNA
Source: RNAcentral
UACGAAGGUCCCAAGCGUUGUUCGGAAUCACUGGGCGUAAAGGGUGCGUAGGCGGUUUGGUAAGUCAGAUGUGAAAUCCCGAGGCUCAACCUCGGAACUGCAUCCGAUACUGCCAGACUAGAGGACUGGAGAGGUGACUGGAAUUCUCGGUGUAGCAGUGAAAUGCGUAGAGAUCGAGAGGAACACUCGUGGCGUAAGCGAGUCACUGGACAGUAUCUGACGCUGAGGCACGAAGGCCAGGGUAGCGAAAGGG